AGUCUCAGUUGUUUUACACUGGCGGAAGAACUACUUUACGAUUAAAAAGUAUAUAAAUCAACGCCAUAUUCCCCCAUGCUAAACCCCAUUGAAAUAAUCUGGGGAAAAAUCAAAAUGCAUGUAAAGGGGCACAUCUCAAACCCAGUCAUAAAUGGGCCAAACCUUGUUGAACAACGGCUGCAAUAUUUGGAGAAGUUGGUGGAGGAGACUGCGCGAGAGAAUUUCAGCACGCAACAUCUUUCCAUGAAAAUGCUUUAUCUUUACAAGAUAUGCAAGUUGGGACAUAAUAAACUUGCAUUUUUAAUAACAUCUAAAUAAUUUCUGAAUAAAAACGAGUUUCUCAUUUCCAAAUGA
Rhagoletis pomonella (apple maggot) is the source of this 354-nucleotide long non-coding RNA. RefSeq lists it as uncharacterized. Lineage: Eukaryota; Metazoa; Arthropoda; Insecta; Diptera; Tephritidae. The transcript is spliced from 2 exons. The record is from RefSeq and is a predicted model, not a curated record.